Molecule: transfer RNA, 68 nt
Filed under: Typhlatya iliffei
Lineage: Eukaryota; Metazoa; Arthropoda; Malacostraca; Decapoda; Atyidae
Description: tRNA-Trp
Rfam family: tRNA
About the family: Transfer RNA (tRNA) molecules are approximately 80 nucleotides in length. Their secondary structure includes four short double-helical elements and three loops (D, anti-codon, and T loops). Further hydrogen bonds mediate the characteristic L-shaped molecular structure. tRNAs have two regions of fundamental functional importance: the anti-codon, which is responsible for specific mRNA codon recognition, and the 3' end, to which the tRNAs corresponding amino acid is attached (by aminoacyl-tRNA synthetases). tRNAs cope with the degeneracy of the genetic code in two manners: having more than one tRNA (with a specific anti-codon) for a particular amino acid; and 'wobble' base-pairing, i.e. permitting non-standard base-pairing at the 3rd anti-codon position.
Source: RNAcentral
AAGGUUUUAAGUUAAAAAAACUAGAAGCCUUCAAAGCUCCAAAUAAGAGAUCAACCUCUUAAACCUUA